RNAcentral lists this microRNA precursor (130 nucleotides) under Olea europaea subsp. europaea. The record is from RNAcentral. Lineage: Eukaryota; Viridiplantae; Streptophyta; Magnoliopsida; Lamiales; Oleaceae.
UAUAUACAUAUGUACGUAUAUAUGUACAUAUAUAUGUACGUAUAUGUACGUAUAUAGGUACAUAUAUGUACAUAUAUAUGUACGUAUAUAGGUACAUAUAUGUACAUAUAUAUGUACGUAUAUGUACGUA